Molecule: long non-coding RNA, 499 nt
Organism: Adelges cooleyi (spruce gall adelgid)
Lineage: Eukaryota; Metazoa; Arthropoda; Insecta; Hemiptera; Adelgidae
Exons: 2
Source: RefSeq, a predicted model, not a curated record
UAAUUAAUAUGCACUUCGUUUUCGCUUAUUUUUUAGUUAUUGUCACAUCUAUCUAUUAACAUGGAUAAUUUUAGUUGACAUGUUAAUGGCUUCAAAGCUAAUGACGUUUAUUUUUCCAUUGCUUUUUAAAUAAAUAAUAAUAAUAUCUAGAUUGUAAUAUGGAAUAAAUGUUAUGUUUUUUUAGAUUAUGAAACUGAGAUUGAUGAAACUUCACCACCUGACUACACAGACUUUCAGAAUUUGUUAAAUUCAUACAAAGUUUGUGAACCAACUCUUAAGCCGGACGGCUCCAAGACGUUUGAUUGUAUAAAGAAGUGUGGCCGUUCAUACAAAUAUAAACGCAAUUUGUGGCGACACUUGACCUCCGAGUGCGGCGUAGGACCUCAGUAUCAAUGCAACAUUUGUACUCAGUGGUUUGUACACAGAAGCAGCUUGAAAAAACAUUUAUAUUAUUUUCAUAGUAUUUUAUUGGACAAUAAAAAUAAAAAAUAAUAGAUUU